RNAcentral lists this long non-coding RNA (1230 nucleotides) under Triticum aestivum (bread wheat). RNAcentral's name for it is "long non-coding RNA (TAES_LNC006841)". Lineage: Eukaryota; Viridiplantae; Streptophyta; Magnoliopsida; Poales; Poaceae. The record is from RNAcentral.
AUCAAUAAAAUCUGUUGCGGCAGUACAUGGCUUCUGAAGUGACGAGUAACAGUAAUCAUGCCAGGUUAAUCCAAGCUCAGUCCGUUGGUAUGCCCCAUGGCUGGAUUUGCUUGCUUUGCUGUGUACUGGAGGUGCUCAAUGAAAUCCGUCAGUUUGCUCUUGGUCUUGGAGGAUUACGGAAGAGGAUAUGUAGAUCCUUCCAAUCCCUAGCAAUGUACUAGAAGUUAUAAAUGGUGGUCAGUAUCAGGUAUCAUUUUUUUUCUGAAUCUAGGCAAUCAAAUAUAUCCUCUUGUAUAUAUCCAAUAAAAUUGACAGAGGAAGGCUUAGCUGCUAACCGUUAGGUGAAGUAAGGUUUGUUUCCUAUCUUAUGUAGUUUGUCGAAAAGAAAGGGCUUUCACCACCAUGAGUGUUCCACAAAAAUUAGACUUCAUGCUUGGUAAUACAUGAAGCUACAGUCUUUAUAGAUAUCCUUUAUAGAUCAAGGAUAUACAUUAUCAUCUGCAUUCAUCUGGUGUUUUUUUAUGACAGAUGGUUGUGGCUGAAACCAGACAUCUUCACUGAGAUUUAGAUGGACAGGAUAAGAGUGUCGAGAAAGCAUUGGAAUUCAUAUCAUAAGCCUUUUUCUACAAUAAUGGACUAACAAAAAACAAAGAAAAACAUGGACCUGAAUGUCUAGACAUGAAGUAAUCAAAUAAUUCCAUACCAUGGCUUACUGAUGCAAAUAUGUUGUCUACUAGGUAGUUAUGCAAACAUCUGUUCCACCUAGGUUCUUACUUAUACACACUUGUACUUUCUGUUGUUGUAGUUAAUUAAAAAUGUUUGUUAUUUAAUUUGGUUUCUGAAGAUGCUAUCAUUGUAGUGUUAAUUAGUCUCAAUCUUUUAAUGUAAAAUACUCUUAACUAAUGGUUUGCCAUAUAGCCAUGGAAUAUAUAUAGUUUGGUUCGGGCACCCUGAAAUAAAGUAAAUGUUUUCUUUGUUUGUUUUUUUCUUCCAUAGCAAGGAUUGAAUCAUUAGAACCCAAAAGGGAGUUUCAUGGAAUGUAUAUUCUAUUUGCUGGGCGGGCGGCCUCACUGAAUUGGUUGUCUCUGUUUUUCUGUGCCCUCCUGUGCCAUUGGAUUGGAUGGCGUCAUUGUCGCCGCAGCCACUACAUGUCGGAGCUGUUGCGGGAGCACCAGAAGCUUGUCCUGUUUCACGCAGGUGCUACCAAUCUACAUCAAGCUGUUGGGCCAC